Molecule: ribosomal RNA, 251 nt
Filed under: uncultured Granulicatella sp.
Lineage: Bacteria; Bacillati; Bacillota; Bacilli; Lactobacillales; Carnobacteriaceae
Description: partial 16S ribosomal RNA
Rfam family: Bacterial small subunit ribosomal RNA
Source: RNAcentral
GUGGCGAACGGGUGAGUAACACGUGGGUAACCUGCCCAUCAGAGGGGGAUAACAUUCGGAAACGGAUGCUAAAACCGCAUAGGUUCUACAGUCGCAUGACUGAAGAAGGAAAAGAGGCUUCGGCUUCUGCUGAUGGAUGGACCCGCGGUGCAUUAGCUAGUUGGUGAGGUAACGGCUCACCAAGGCCGUGAUGCAUAGCCGACCUGAGAGGGUGAUCGGCCACAUUGGGACUGAGACACGGCCCAAACUCC